GCAAACUUGGUCAUUUAGAGGAAGUAAAAGUCGUAACAAGGUUUCCGUAGGGUAAGAAUUUCCCCAUUCCACUCUUUUCAACCUUGAAUUCAUGCUAACAUAUUUUCUAGUGAACCUGCGGAAGGAUCAUUACUGAGAGUUUGGCCUUUGGCCCUCACCCUCUACCCUUUUGUGUACCUGUUUCGUUGCUUUGGCGGGCCGUCGAUUCAUCGCCGUCGGCCUUUGGGCUGGCGAGUGCCCGCCAGAGGUUUUACCACGAACUCUGUCACGAAUCUAGUCUGAACCCGAAAGGGUUUAUUUGAAAAUAAAAUCAAAACUUUCAACAACGGAUCUCUUGGUUCCGGCAUCGAUGAAGAACGCAGC
This 363-nucleotide unclassified non-coding RNA is filed under the name uncultured fungus. RNAcentral describes it as "partial contains small subunit ribosomal RNA, internal transcribed spacer 1, and 5.8S ribosomal RNA". The stretch from base 1 to 132 matches the Rfam family "Eukaryotic small subunit ribosomal RNA", at positions 1759 to 1831 of the family's 1831-position model. Lineage: Eukaryota; Fungi. The record is from RNAcentral.